AAGGGCUUAGGAUAACUAUAAAACCGGGGGCCUUCAAAGCCCUAAAUGGGGGUGAAAUGCCCUCAGCCCUUG
This 72-nucleotide transfer RNA is filed under the name Saurida brasiliensis (Brazilian lizardfish). RNAcentral's name for it is "tRNA-Trp". It matches the Rfam family "tRNA". Rfam says of the family: Transfer RNA (tRNA) molecules are approximately 80 nucleotides in length. Their secondary structure includes four short double-helical elements and three loops (D, anti-codon, and T loops). The record is from RNAcentral. Lineage: Eukaryota; Metazoa; Chordata; Actinopteri; Aulopiformes; Synodontidae.